RNAcentral lists this ribosomal RNA (387 nucleotides) under uncultured eukaryote. RNAcentral describes it as "SSU rRNA". It matches the Rfam family "Eukaryotic small subunit ribosomal RNA", at positions 587 to 972 of the family's 1831-position model. The record is from RNAcentral.
AGCUCCAAUAGCGUAUAUUAAAGUUGUUGCAGUUAAAAAGCUCGUAGUUGGAUUCCUGGUUAGAGCGGCCGGUCUGGUCCGAACGGAUCAGUACUUUGAGCUGUCUUUGACCUUCCUUUGGGAGAAUCUGUGUUGUUAUUCGUUUAGCAGUGCAGGGGACCCCAAUCGUUUACUGUGAAAAAAUUAGAGUGUUUAAAGCAGGCAUUUGCUGUGAAUACAUUAGCAUGGAAUAAUAAGAUAGGACUUUGGUGCUAUUUUGUUGGUUUGCACACCAAGGUAAUGAUUAACAGGGACAGUUGGGGGUAUUCGUAUUUAAUUGUCAGAGGUGAAAUUCAUGGAUUUAUGAAAGACGAACUACUGCGAAAGCAUUUACCAAGGAUGUUUUCA